RNAcentral lists this ribosomal RNA (930 nucleotides) under uncultured bacterium. RNAcentral describes it as "bacterial SSU rRNA". It matches the Rfam family "Bacterial small subunit ribosomal RNA", at positions 9 to 934 of the family's 1533-position model. The record is from RNAcentral.
GAGUUUGAUUAUGGCUCAGAUUGAACGCUGGCGGCAGGCCUAACACAUGCAAGUCGAACGGUAACAUGACUAGCUUGCUAGUUGAUGACGAGUGGCGGACGGGUGAGUAACGCGUAGGAAUCUACCCAGUAGCGGGGGAUAAGCCAGAGAAAUUUGGUCUAAUACCGCAUACGCCCUUCGGGGGAAAGCAGGGGAUCUUCGGACCUUGCACUAUUGGAUGAGCCUGCGUGAGAUUAGCUUGUUGGUGAGGUAAUGGCUCACCAAGGCGACGAUCUCUAGCUGGUCUGAGAGGAUGAUCAGCCACACUGGAACUGAGACACGGUCCAGACUCCUACGGGAGGCAGCAGUGGGGAAUAUUGCACAAUGGGCGCAAGCCUGAUGCAGCCAUGCCGCGUGUGUGAAGAAGGCCCUAGGGUCGUAAAGCACUUUCAGCAGUGAGGAAAGGUUAGUAGUUAAUACCUGCUAGCUGUGACGUUAACUGCAGAAGAAGCACCGGCUAACUCCGUGCCAGCAGCCGCGGUAAUACGGAGGGUGCGAGCGUUAAUCGGAAUUACUGGGCGUAAAGCGCGCGUAGGUGGAUUGGUCAGUCAGAUGUGAAAGCCCAGGGCUCAACCUUGGAACUGCACCUGAUACUGCUAAUCUAGAAUACGGUAGAGGGUAGUGGAAUUUCCUGUGUAGCGGUGAAAUGCGUAGAUAUAGGAAGGAACACCAGUGGCGAAGGCGACUACCUGGACCGAUAUUGACACUGAGGUGCGAAAGCGUGGGGAGCAAACAGGAUNAGAUACCCUGGUAGUCCACGCCGUAAACGAUGUCUACUAGCCGUUGGGGGACUUGAUCUUUNGUGGCGCAGCUANCGCGAUAAGUANACCCCUGGGGAGUACGGCCCCAGGGUNAAACUCAAAUGAAUNGACGGGGGCCCCCCAANCGGNG